GACGAACGCUGGCGGCGUGCUUAACACAUGCAAGUCGAACGGAAAGGCGCUGCUUUUGUGGGGUGCUCGAGUGGCGAACGGGUGAGUAACACGUGAGUAACCUGCCCUUGACUUUGGGAUAACUUCAGGAAACUGGGGCUAAUACCGGAUAGGAGCUCCUGCUGCAUGGUGGGGGUUGGAAAGUUUCGGCGGUUGGGGAUGGACUGGCGGCUUAUCAGCUUGUUGGUGAGGUAGUGGCUUACCAAGGCUUUGACGGGUAGCCGGCCUGGGAGGGUUACCGGCGACAAUGGGCCUGAGGUACGGCCCAGACUGGUACGGGAGGCAGCAGUGGGGAAUAUUGCGCAGUGGGCGCAAGCCAGAUGCAGCGGCGCCGGGUGCGGAAUGACGGCCUACGGGUGAUGAACCGCUUUCGCCUGUGCCGAAGCGUGAGUGACGGUAAUGGGUAAAGAAGCACCGGCUAACUACGUG
Molecule: ribosomal RNA, 468 nt
Filed under: uncultured bacterium
Lineage: Bacteria
Description: partial 16S ribosomal RNA
Rfam family: Bacterial small subunit ribosomal RNA
Source: RNAcentral